CACUGCGCCCAAUCAAUGCUUUCCAUUUUAUCUUGGCUGCUAAGUAACUCAGAAGUAACUUUAAAUCUCAACCUUAGUAACCAUGUAGGAGCUGGAUAAUUAUUCACUACUUUUAAGCACUCAAGUCUUCCUUCACCUGUAUGAUAAGAACCAAACUUCUCUGUAAAUUAUGCAUGUCUUUUUAUGAUCUGGCUCCUGCUCCCUCAUCAGCUUCAUAUCCUAUUCACUCUAGUUUAUACUCCCUGUUACAAUAAAAUGGAAUUUCUUGUAGCUCCCUGAACUAGCUAUGAUAUUCCAAAAUCCUAUGUAUUUCCGAAUGCCACUUUUUCUUUCUAAUUAUGAUGUCUUCCCUUCCAGAUGACAUCAUAAUUAGUCCUUUCUAAGCCUAAUUAAAACAUCUGCUCUGGACAAAAUCCUUUGUUGACUUCCUUCCACCAGCCCUGGGAAGAAUCUAUCAUCCCCUUUCCUCUAACACCCCUAACCCCUUUCCUCUAACACCAAAUGUGGUGUUCCAUCACCACAUUUAUAGAAAAAUAUAUAUUACAAUUAUUGGUUUCUAUGUCUGUUUCCAGUUCUCCUCAACUUGCUCCUCAAGAAAUACUGUGGCUGUUGUAACACAUUUCCUUUUUGCCUGGUUACCAGGAAGCUCACAAUCGAGUCUGUGGCCAUCCUUUAGCAAUUAGACAUUUUGGAUCCAAGGACCAAUAGGUUGACUCAUUCACUAGUGGAGAGUAUCAAAGAAAGAAAAAUUUAAAAACUAAACAACAGAUUUGACAAGCUGCCUGCCAUCUGAAAGUGAGAAAGAAUGUGAUAUUAAUUGAGCAUCUUCUGAGCAAGCUAUAUGCUGUACAUAUGCUUUUCUUCAAAACAUCCCUUCAAGAAAAUGGAAACCCAAAUCUGUGCCACAUUCCUCUGCAAAGAGUGUCCAAAUGAGGGAGAGAAGAGGUAUGCUUAAUAAAUUAUAAGGUUUUAUGUCAGCAACACCACAAAAAAUUACCUACAACUGUAUUAUGAGCUACAAAGAACAAAUUCAUAAAUCUAAUGGAUAGAUCUUAUAUUUAAGGAAACAGAUUAUUCCAACGUGAAUAACUUUGAAGAGAGUUAAACUGAAUUUGUCAUAAUUCAUUUUCCAGUUUAAUUGCACAUUAUACAUUAAUAUUUACCCUCUUUGGCUCAGA
Molecule: long non-coding RNA, 1178 nt
Filed under: Homo sapiens (human)
Lineage: Eukaryota; Metazoa; Chordata; Mammalia; Primates; Hominidae
Description: HSALNT0361653
Source: RNAcentral